Molecule: long non-coding RNA, 128 nt
Organism: Etheostoma spectabile (orangethroat darter)
Lineage: Eukaryota; Metazoa; Chordata; Actinopteri; Perciformes; Percidae
Exons: 3
Source: RefSeq, a predicted model, not a curated record
UGUACAUUUAGGUACUGGUAUUAUUUAAGCUGUGACCAUUAUUUUUUUUAGAAUUAUUCAUGUGACAGUCAAUGUUACUGUUAUAUUGCUGUAUGAAAAAAACGGCUGUUCACACAUUGUUGUUAGAA